AAGACGGAGCUGAACAGAGGCGGCACGGGAGCUGGACGACGCACGGCGGGGACGGCAAACGCGAAGGGGCGGUGGCGGAGCGCGCGGCGUGCGCGGGUGGUGCGGACGGCGGCCCGGCGGCGUGCGGCGAGCUGCGAGCGAGCGGCGACGGAGCUGCAGCUUCUGGUCUUCCUCCGCUUCUGGUUCGCUUGAACGGAAGGGGGAAGGGAAAUGUCGAGGGAGAG
Molecule: long non-coding RNA, 224 nt
Filed under: Eucalyptus grandis
Lineage: Eukaryota; Viridiplantae; Streptophyta; Magnoliopsida; Myrtales; Myrtaceae
Description: long non-coding RNA (EGRA_LNC007666)
Source: RNAcentral